AGACCCGAAACCCGGUGAUCUAGCCAUGGGCAGGUUGAAGGUUGGGUAACACUAACUGGAGGACCGAACCGACUAAUGUUGAAAAAUUAGCGGAUGACUUGUGGCUGGGGGUGAAAGGCCAAUCAAACCGGGAGAUAGCUGGUUCUCCCCGAAAGCUAUUUAGGUAGCGCCUCGUGAAUUCAUCUCCGGGGGUAGAGCACUGUUUCGGCAAGGGGGUCAUCCCGACUUACCAACCCGAUGCAAACUGCGAAUACCGGAGAAUGUUAUCACGGGAGACACACGGCGGGUGCUAACGUCCGUCGUGAAGAGGGAAACAACCCAGACCGCCAGCUAAGGUCCCAAAGUCAUGGUUAAGUGGGAAACGAUGUGGGAAGGCCCAGACAGCCAGGAUGUUGGCUUAGAAGCAGCCAUCAUUUAAAGAAAGCGUAAUAGCUCACUGGUCGAGUCGGCCUGCGCGGAAGAUGUAACGGGGCUAAACCAUGCACCGAAGCUGCGGCAGCGACACUAUGUGUUGUUGGGUAGGGGAGCGUUCUGUAAGCCUGUGAAGGUGUACUGUGAGGUAUGCUGGAGGUAUCAGAAGUGCGAAUGCUGACAUAAGUAACGAUAAAGCGGGUGAAAAGCCCGCUCGCCGGAAGACCAAGGGUUCCUGUCCAACGUUAAUCGGGGCAGGGUGAGUCGACCCCUAAGGCGAGGCCGAAAGGCGUAGUCGAUGGGAAACAGGUUAAUAUUCCUGUACUUGGUGUUACUGCGAAGGGGGGACGGAGAAGGCUAUGUUGGCCGGGCGACGGUUGUCCCGGUUUAAGCGUGUAGGCUGGUUUUCCAGGCAAAUCCGGAAAAUCAAGGCUGAGGCGUGAUGACGAGGCACUACGGUGCUGAAGCGACAAAUGCCCUGCUUCCAGGAAAAGCCUCUAAGCAUCAGGUAACAUCAAAUCGUACCCCAAACCGACACAGGUGGUCAGGUAGAGAAUACCAAGGCGCUUGAGAGAACUCGGGUGAAGGAACUAGGCAAAAUGGUGCCGUAACUUCGGGAGAAGGCACGCUGAUAUGUAGGUGAAGCGACUUGCUCGUGGAGCUGAAAUCAGUCGAAGAUACCAGCUGGCUGCAACUGUUUAUUAAAAACACAGCACUGUGCAAACACGAAAGUGGACGUAUACGGUGUGACGCCUGCCCGGUGCCGGAAGGUUAAUUGAUGGGGUUAGCGGUAACGCGAAGCUCUUGAUCGAAGCCCCGGUAAACGGCGGCCGUAACUAUAACGGUCCUAAGGUAGCGAAAUUCCUUGUCGGGUAAGUUCCGACCUGCACGAAUGGCGUAAUGAUGGCCAGGCUGUCUCCACCCGAGACUCAGUGAAAUUGAACUCGCUGUGAAGAUGCAGUGUACCCGCGGCAAGACGGAAAGACCCCGUGAACCUUUACUAUAGCUUGACACUGAACAUUGAGCCUUGAUGUGUAGGAUAGGUGGGAGGCUUUGAAGUGUGGACGCCAGUCUGCAUGGAGCCGACCUUGAAAUACCACCCUUUAAUGUUUGAUGUUCUAACGUGGGCCCCUUACCGGGGUUGCGGACAGUGUCUGGUGGGUAGUUUGACUGGGGCGGUCUCCUCCUAAAGAGUAACGGAGGAGCACGAAGGUUGGCUAAUCCUGGUCGGA
Molecule: ribosomal RNA, 1643 nt
Filed under: Escherichia coli
Lineage: Bacteria; Pseudomonadati; Pseudomonadota; Gammaproteobacteria; Enterobacterales; Enterobacteriaceae
Description: partial 23S ribosomal RNA
Rfam family: Bacterial large subunit ribosomal RNA
Source: RNAcentral